GCAAACUUGGUCAUUUAGAGGAAGUAAAAGUCGUAACAAGGUCUCCGUUGGUGAACCAGCGGAGGGAUCAUUAUAGAGUGUAAAAACUCCCUAAACCCAUGUGAACAUACCUACAGUUGCUUCGGCGGGAUCGUCCCAGGCGCCUCGUGUGCCCUGGAUCCAGACGCCCGCCGGGGGACCAAACUCUUGCUUUUACUGAGUUAUCUUCUGAGUCGUUUUUAUAAAUGAAUAAAAACUUUCAACAACGGAUCUCUUGGCUCUGGCAUCGAUGAAGAACGCAGC
RNAcentral lists this unclassified non-coding RNA (282 nucleotides) under uncultured fungus. RNAcentral's name for it is "partial contains small subunit ribosomal RNA, internal transcribed spacer 1, and 5.8S ribosomal RNA". The stretch from base 1 to 73 matches the Rfam family "Eukaryotic small subunit ribosomal RNA", at positions 1759 to 1831 of the family's 1831-position model. Lineage: Eukaryota; Fungi. The record is from RNAcentral.